AGUGAACGCUGGCGGUAGGCCUAACACAUGCAAGUCGAACGGCAGCACAGUAAGAGCUUGCUCUUACGGGUGGCGAGUGGCGGACGGGUGAGGAAUACAUCGGAAUCUACUUUUUCGUGGGGGAUAAUGUAGGGAAACUUACGCUAAUACCGCAUACGACCUACGGGUGAAAGCAGGGGAUCUUCGGACCUUGCGCGAUUGAAUGAGCCGAUGUCGGAUUAGCUAGUUGGCGGGGUAAAGGCCCACAAAGGCGACGAUCCGUAGCUGGUCUGAGAGGAUGAUCAGCCACACUGGAACUGAGACACGGUCCAGACUCCUACGGGAGGCGGCAGUGGGGAAUAUUGGACAAUGGGCGCAAGCCUGAUCCAGCCAUACCGCGUGGGUGAAGAAGGCCUUCGGGUUGUAAAGCCCUUUUGUUGGGAAAGAAAAGCAGCAGGUUAAUACCCCGCUGUUCUGACGGUACCCAAAGAAUAAGCACCGGCUAACUUCGUG
This 492-nucleotide ribosomal RNA is filed under the name uncultured bacterium. RNAcentral's name for it is "partial 16S ribosomal RNA". It matches the Rfam family "Bacterial small subunit ribosomal RNA", at positions 29 to 507 of the family's 1533-position model. The record is from RNAcentral.